GGAAUCAAAACAAAAUGUUGUUCUUUCCAAACAUGAAUGAAACAGAAACGUUUUUUCCUCUCAAUUCUUAAGAAACCAAAAUGUUAUUUCUUGCUAUUUUAUUAAUAAGCAGAACAUUGAGACUUCUUCUACCAAAUAUUCUUGUUGUAUGCUCUUGUGUUUGCAUCUGGUCUUGCUAAAGACUAAAGGUGCUAUGAUGAGGCUCAAUUGUUUCAAGUACACCUGAUAAUUAAUAAAUCAGAUUUCUCCUUUAAAUUUUGGAUAUGAAAUCGAGCUUCCUGCUGGGUAUCCUCAAAAUCUGUCAAAGCGAAGAAAGAUUUUGCAUUGUAGAAACGUUACUCGUCCAUGAAAUUCUAAGAAGCAGGGGAAAAUUUCGUUCAAUCAAUGAAGGUUUUCCAACAGAAUAUUAUACGGAGUUUUCCCUACUCCAGGUAUAUUAAGGCUAAGUUUUUCCUUCAUUUUAGCAUGAUAUCGUAGUUACAAAAGUCUGAUAACGAGGCAUAAAGAAAAAUUUGUAUCUCGGAAUUUACGUAUAUUUGCUAGUCUAGCAAAUUACCUAUAUUUUCCUAGUUUUGUAAGUUACCAUAUUCUUCUUAUCGGGAUCGCAUAUUUUGUUGAGUAUUUCCUUCUUCAGGUCAAAAGAGCAGAGAGUUUACAUAUAUACAGUAUUAAAAGUAUUUUCAUUACCAUCGUGCUAUAAUCGAUGGGCAGGCCUCUAUUGGGCAACCUCUGAUCAGAUGGUAAGUUAUAUACCGAGCCUACUGUGGUCGAGCGCUUAUGAGCUAGCCCAGUUGGUCGAGAUACAGAACCUAGUAUGGCCGAGCGCUUAUAAGUGAGCCUACUACGGUAAAGCAGUUAUAUAUAUACCGAGCUUUAUAGGGCCGGACAACUAUUUUACUUACUAUAUUGAGAGAGCUGAGUUUGUAUCAGCAGGUAAGCAUAUCUUCAGAUUAUCCUUGACUUCCAGCUACUUGCAAUUAUUAUAUUAUCAGUUCAGUUUCAUCUUCCAGUAUAUUGGCUUACAUACUCGGUACAUUAUUUCGUAUUGAUGUCCCUUUUUCUGGGGGCGCUACAUUUCAUGCGUGCAGGUUCAGACAGACUGACGGGUAGGCCUCCUCAUUAAGUGUUGCUCGAGUUCAGCUUGAUCAGUAAGCUCCAUGCCUUUCGGAGUUUUUGGGUCUAGAGCCUUAUGUACAUCUUGUAUAUAUAUACAUAUAUAUGUUAUGAGUAGGUCAGAGAGCUAUUCCGAUUACAGUAUAUCCAUCAGUAAAGGCUUGUAGAUAUAUAUUGUCAGUUAGUGCAAUAUAUUGGGUUUUCAGGCCUUGUAUGUAUUUUUGGUUGGUUUGUUAGCUCUAAUAAUUAUGACGGCUUUAUCGGCCAAGUUUUAUAUUGACAUUUAGCCAGCAUUCGCAGUUGUCUUGCAAUGUGGCCCAUGGCC
RNAcentral lists this long non-coding RNA (1438 nucleotides) under Nicotiana tabacum (common tobacco). Its description in RNAcentral is "long non-coding RNA (NTAB_LNC005239)". The record is from RNAcentral. Lineage: Eukaryota; Viridiplantae; Streptophyta; Magnoliopsida; Solanales; Solanaceae.